AGAGUUUGAUCCUGGCUCAGAUUGAACGCUGGCGGCAUGCCUUACACAUGCAAGUCGAACGGUAACAGGUCUUCGGAUGCUGACGAGUGGCGAACGGGUGAGUAAUACAUCGGAACGUGCCCGAGAGUGGGGGAUAACGAAGCGAAAGCUUUGCUAAUACCGCAUACGAUCUCAGGAUGAAAGCAGGGGACCGCAAGGCCUUGCGCUCACGGAGCGGCCGAUGGCAGAUUAGGUAGUUGGUGGGAUAAAAGCUUACCAAGCCGACGAUCUGUAGCUGGUCUGAGAGGACGACCAGCCACACUGGGACUGAGACACGGCCCAGACUCCUACGGGAGGCAGCAGUGGGGAAUUUUGGACAAUGGGCGCAAGCCUGAUCCAGCCAUGCCGCGUGCAGGAUGAAGGCCUUCGGG
RNAcentral lists this ribosomal RNA (410 nucleotides) under uncultured bacterium. Its description in RNAcentral is "bacterial SSU rRNA". It matches the Rfam family "Bacterial small subunit ribosomal RNA", at positions 8 to 422 of the family's 1533-position model. The record is from RNAcentral.